Hordeum vulgare subsp. vulgare (domesticated barley) is the source of this 1741-nucleotide long non-coding RNA. RefSeq lists it as uncharacterized. The record is from RefSeq and is a predicted model, not a curated record. The transcript has 4 exons. Lineage: Eukaryota; Viridiplantae; Streptophyta; Magnoliopsida; Poales; Poaceae.
UGCCACGUCUCCAUGCGGUUUCCAGAUCCCACCGCUUUGACCAGCCAGAAGAUAUUUUCUACCUUCACCAAUCCUUUGCGUUGCGGUCACCUCAACCUCUCCUUCUCCUUGCACCCCCUCCGUUUCCUACCUUGGCCUGCCGUCAAUCCACCGCCGCCGUCACCUUCGCUUCCAUCAUAGCAUCAGAUAAGCGUCAGCUACCCGCUCCUGAAUCCCUGCCCGCAGCGCCCUCGACGGCAUGCCUCCCUCGCUGGCGCUGGACGGGGGGUUGGGAGGGGAAAUAGGAAUCCCCACGGCGUGAAGCACAUGAGGAGGUGAAAGCAAGCCAUGACAACGGCCACGCACGCGAGGGUGGAGGGGCACAUGCGGCUGCUGGUAGUGCACACCUCGGGUGCCGUAGGUCUUUCUGUGUAUUUGCGUCAGGCUGCUGCAGGAUGAGGGCCGAUGGUCGGAGAGGUCGAACUGCGCUGCAUUUGGCGCCGCCAUCAAGCAUAGCAUCGCAAGUAACAGGAAAUUACGGUGAGCUUGCCCCAGCAGUAAGACCACAUCAGCCCAGGGCGUCAUGCAAAGCCUAAGAAUCGGUUGUUCUCUACCAUACAUAGUAGGCCUAGAGGUUGCAGCCAGUCUGCCCUGUAGCUGUAUUGCCGGAUGGAUGGACCGAUUGCUUACGGCACGGUCCAAUGGCCUAAUGCUUACGUCGAGAUUUAUUGCACACGGUGGAAACUGGGAGCAUCACUCUCCUUGACUGGAAUCACAGUGGCCAGAUUAUAGAUCACACAAGCUGUUGGUGAGCUUUUCCUUUUGAUUUCUAAAUCUCUGGGUUAUAGGUCAACUCCCACUUUGUAGACUUUAUCUUUUGUGGCUCGAGAAAUUCUUUAUUCACCUGUAUGCUUUCUUUUGCAAAUUGCAUUCGCAAUCUCUAAUAGCCAAUUAAUGAGCACAUGAUCUGGUUCUGCUUUAGUACCCUCAAACUGUACAUUCACUUAGAUGCCUAUUGAAUAAUGAUUGCUUCAUCUUCUUAUAUCAUUUUCCUUUCAAAUUGUGCUUCACAAAUAGUAGUAAAAAAAGACUACCAUUUACUCAGACCAUGCUUUCAGUUCCACGCCUAUUGACUAAUGAUUGCUUCUUCAAGCAUGGAAAUCCCUGUGCUGACGGUGCUUGCAAAUAUUUUCAGCCAUUCAAUAUGUGAUGUAAGGUACAGGGGAGUAUGCACGUCCCCAUUGGGAGAGAUCCCCGCUUUUAAACUUUUUGGUUUAAAAUUCAGAUCUCUCGAGUUCAGUAAAAUUCGUGGUAAAGAAAGUCAUACGAUGUACAAUUUUUAGUGUAAAUCUCUGUUGGAAAAAAAAAAGCAGUUAGUACAGAAGGAAUAUAUCGUGCUUUUUGUUAUAACAAUGUUUAUGAUAUUUUGUUGCAGAGAAUAAAGGGGUUGUAAGAUAUGUGGCAUAAUGCAAUACAUAUAACAAACAAUGAAAUCUUGGCUAAUUAAAGAGUUUUUUAGCCGUGGUGUAUGAGGCUUGAAGGCUUCUUCACAAGAUUGUAGAAGGUCCUGAAUUUGUUAAUGAUAGAAAUGAAAUGCUCCCAUAAUUGUUCAAGGAUUCCUCCGUAGUAUCAUUGUUCUCAAAGCUAAGAACCUUACUUUGUUAUUGAAGUGAGAAUUUUUUAUCUCUUGAAUUAAUGCUGAUGAAGAAUUGUAAUUCCAAUAUUAUUUAUAAAUGCAUUCUAAGAUUAUCUAUUAAUGAAA